Molecule: unclassified non-coding RNA, 503 nt
Filed under: Trichosporon asahii
Lineage: Eukaryota; Fungi; Basidiomycota; Tremellomycetes; Trichosporonales; Trichosporonaceae
Source: RNAcentral
GCUCAGCUUUUGUUCUACAGAUUUGUCCUUUUGGACUCUCUAUGAUUGGCAUGGACUGGGGGGCGACCUCAGCAUCUUAAUCAUAGACAGUUUAACAAGUACAAGUAGUGAGAGGAGUAGAGUGAAUCAAGAACGAAGUAUAAGGGAUCAAAAAUGAGAGCCAGACUUGGUACCAGUUGCCAAGUUCUCGACUGAUGGCCUUGGUUGAGAUUCUCAAAGCUACAAGUUGGAAGGAUGGACUGGGGGAGACAAGAGGUCUCUGGCAGGGCGGUUGAGGACUAGACCAGGCCCCUUUGGACAGGAGCAAGGCCUCAGAGGUAGGCGGACGGUGCUGUCAGAGGCUGAGGUCUCGAUGUGAAGUCAGAGUUGAGAGCUGGCAGGCUUGGGUCUGUACCGGUGAGCAUACUAGGAGCUGCAAAGACCAAGUAUGAGUGCUGGUGAGCCCAAGUCUGCCUGCUCUAGUGUGUGUCCUUCCAAGAGCGACAGGCUUAUAGGGGCUGUUC